ACUCCUACGGGAGGCAGCAGUGGGGAAUAUUGCACAAUGGGCGCAAGCCUGAUGCAGCCAUGCCGCGUGUAUGAAGAAGGCCUUCGGUUGUAAAGUAACUUUCUAGCAGUGAGGAAGGCGGGUACGGUUAAUAGCGUGCUCGUUUGUACGUUAGCUGCAGAAGAAGCACCGGCUAACUCCGUGCCAGCAGCCGCGGUAAUACGGAGGGUGCGAGCGUUAAUCGGAAUUACUGGGCGUAAAGCGCAUGCAGGUGGUUUGUUAAGUCAGAUGUGAAAGCCCGGGGGCUCAACCUCGGAAUUGCAUUUGAAACUGGCAGACUAGAGUACUGUAGAGGGGGUAGAAUUUCAGGUGUAGCGGUGAAAUGCGUAGAGAUCUGAAGGAAUACCGGUGGCGAAGGCGGCCCCCUGGACAGAUACUGACACUCAGAUGCGAAAGCGUCGGGGAGCGAAACAGGAUUAGAUA
This 462-nucleotide ribosomal RNA is filed under the name uncultured bacterium. Its description in RNAcentral is "bacterial SSU rRNA". It matches the Rfam family "Bacterial small subunit ribosomal RNA", at positions 335 to 784 of the family's 1533-position model. The record is from RNAcentral.